UAGUCAACUUCUUGCCUCGGCCUUCUCCUGAGUGGGGGAAUCUAUCCUAGUUCUCUCACUCACUUCGGAGCCGCUGUAAAAGAAAGAAAACUUUUUUCCCUGACAAUGACUAAAAGAGGGAACAGGGAACGGCAGUCCCCUUUCUGGGUUGGGGAUGGCGCACCAGGAGAUUCCGUUCGAGGGGAAAGGAAAGAUGAUGCCAAACAAAGGAGGUGGGGUGGGGAUGGUGGAAACCGAAAAAAAACAAAAAACAAAAAACAACCAAACCCCAAGACAGGGGUAGAAGCCAAAUGGAGAGAGAAAUGCCCCAGAAAGCUGACGCUCCCCACUCUGGGGUCUGGCCACCUGGGGCCCUCGACUGCCCACGGCGGCGUGGGGUGGGCUCAGGCGGCAGAGCGGGGCGGGAGGGGCCAGAGCCGCAUGCGCCUGCCCCAGGGCGCCGGGCGGGCCAGGGCUCAGGGAGGACAGGCCGGACUGCCCUUGCCCAGGAGUGAGGCGAGCAGGCGGCUGCGGGCAAAGGGAAUGGUGGGGUCAGAGGCCAAGGUCUCCCAGGCCGAGGGCACGAACCCGGCCACGAGGCGCGCCCGGGCUCGUGACCCCUCCUUCCCGGCCCGACGGCGCCCCGAGGAGCCCCAGUCUUCGAGCCCGGGGUUCAACCCGCCCGCCCAACCGCGCGUGGCCUGAAGAUCCGAGCCGGAGGCAGCCUCGAAGUUUCUACAGUCCUCAGGCUCCCAACCCGGAUCAGAACAUGGUAAGACGCGCUCAGCGUGGCCCCGGCCUGUGGACGACUACCGUCGCUGCCUGGACCCACCCAGCCAACCGCUCUCUCGCCGCCUGACCCAAACGGCCGGGCCCUACCGACGCCAUGAGCAGCCCCGGCCCCGGGGAACGCAAGCCAGGCGACCUAGAGGCCCAUCCGCCAGGCGGCUGAAGACGGGGCCUGAGGUGGCCUGGAAAAGUCAAGUCCUCGCCCACCCCAACCGCAUUAGGAUCAUUUAAAACCGAGUAACCUUGGCCUGCCUUCGACCCCACAUCCCUGACCGUGUCAGGACCCACCUGGCCAACGGUCACCGAACUUCUGACCAUGAAGUGGGGUGAGCAGCAGGGAAAGCAAGACUGCGCUUCCUGAUUGGCCAGCUUGUCCGCCUAGUGUAUCCUGGGAGUUGUAGUCCCAGGCAAGGGCCCAGCGGAGAAAGUUCUAGAUGCCAGGCUGAAAGUGACAGUAAAAAUGAGUGGAGAGAUGUACGCUGGUUUCUUGCCAAGUGGAGAAGCUGGGAUUCAAGCCAUCUUUGCUGGAUUCCAAGAGGAAUCCCCGCCACUGCAACCUCUGGGGCUGACGCAGACACUGUUCUUGGUGCCCCGGGGAAUUGCCUUCCGCUGAGUGAGGAGCACAGACCUCCAGCAUCAGGUUCUACGCCACUCUUUGUCUUCUCUAAGCCUCCCCUGCAACACACACCAGCCUCCUGAGCCAGUCCUUCCUUGUAAAGCACAUGGCCUGUUUAUUUUAGAUCCAACAACCUUCAGUUUAACACUGGAAUUUGUUGUCUGAUGCAGAGUUAGAUAGAUGAAGAGGGGCACAGGAGAACUGAGCUUCAGUCCUAAGGAUAGCUAGCUGUGUAAUCAUGGAAAAGCGUACCUUCCUGUGCCUGAACUGCAGUUUUCCUCGUCAGUUUCCUUAUGGGGGAUGGGCUAGAUCAGUGUCUCCUAAGUGUCACUCAUUAUUGGGCCACUUUGAUGACUGGUAGUCCUAACUGUGUACCACCUAUAUUAUUAUUACCUUAAUAUUUUAAAUUUACUUUCCUUUAAAAUUUAAAUCUUCUUAAAAUCCUUAUAUCACCAAUGUUAAUGGAAUAAAAUAUAAACAGAAGGUAAUAGAAAAAAUAAAGACAAUGAAAAGAG
Equus asinus (donkey) is the source of this 1899-nucleotide long non-coding RNA. The record is from Ensembl. Lineage: Eukaryota; Metazoa; Chordata; Mammalia; Perissodactyla; Equidae.